UUACUAUUCACUUUAGGUGAAAAGUAAAGAUUGCGUAAAAUCUCCAUUCUAACUCGUUUUCUCUCAAAAUUUGACGAGUGCUUUUGUAAUUAAAAUACACACAAAAACAUCAUCAACAGAGAGUUUAGCUAUACUGCCAAAAUCUCAGUCCUUACACACACACACACACACACACACACACACACACUCUCUCUCUCUCUCUCUCUCUCUCUCUCUCUCUCUCUAUAUAUAUAUAUAUAUAUAUAUAUAUAUAUAUAUAGGCCAUGGCUACUAUACUAUUAUGAGUAUUGGAGCCCUCGUACUCAUAAGUUGUUUUCAAUGAUGGAGCUUCGAAUCGGCGAUCCACUUCGUUAAAUAUGAUCUAGAGUAUUUGAAACUUCUAGAAACUAAAUUUCGUAAAUUUUCGAAAUCAUAAUAAAGUCCAUCAAGUGGGCAUAAAAUGAACGGUCAAAAUCGAACGACGUCCUAAAAAUGUAUUAUCGGAUCAUUCAAUUCAAGAUCGGAGUUAUUGAUCUUUAUCUAUGUAGUGAAUAGAAUUUUCUAUCAAAAAUUCAACAAAUUCCGAUUCUUUUACACCGUUAAACUAGCAAGUAUCCCAUACCGGCCGUUAAAAAUUGUCAAAUUUGUGACCUCUUGAUCGUAAGGUAAAUGAUGUCGAAAAAUUAUAAAAUUUGAUUUCUAGAAGUUUUAAAUGCUGUAAAUAACGUUUAACAGUAUGGACUCGUCGAUUCGG
RNAcentral lists this long non-coding RNA (733 nucleotides) under Ananas comosus (pineapple). Its description in RNAcentral is "long non-coding RNA (ACOM_LNC005196)". Lineage: Eukaryota; Viridiplantae; Streptophyta; Magnoliopsida; Poales; Bromeliaceae. The record is from RNAcentral.